This 454-nucleotide ribosomal RNA is filed under the name uncultured bacterium. RNAcentral's name for it is "bacterial SSU rRNA". It matches the Rfam family "Bacterial small subunit ribosomal RNA", at positions 29 to 528 of the family's 1533-position model. The record is from RNAcentral.
AACGAACGCUGGCGGCAGGCCUAACACAUGCAAGUCGAGCGAACCCUUCGGGGUUAGCGGCGGACGGGUUAGUAACGCGUGGGAAUAUACCCUUUGGUACGGAAUAGCCUCGGGAAACUGAGAGUAAUACCGUAUGUGCCCUUCGGGGGAAAGAUUUAUCGCCAAAGGAUUAGCCCGCGUUGGAUUAGAUAGUUGGUGGGGUAAUGGCCUACCAAGUCUACGAUCCAUAGCUGGUUUGAGAGGAUGAUCAGCAACACUGGGACUGAGACACGGCCCAGACUCCUACGGGAGGCAGCAGUGGGGAAUCUUAGACAAUGGGCGCAAGCCUGAUCUAGCCAUGCCGCGUGGACGAUGAAGGCCUUAGGGUUGUAAAGUCCUUUCAGAUGGGAAGAUAAUGACGGUACCAUCAGAAGAAGCCCCGGCUAACUCCGUGCCAGCAGCCGCGGUAAAGUAG